CCUACGGGUGGCUGCAGUGAGGAAUAUUGGUCAAUGGCCGUAAGGCUGAACCAGCCAAGUAGCGUGAGGGAAGACUGCCCUAUGGGUUGUAAACCUCUUUUAUGCGGGGAUAAAGGUGUCCACGUGUGGAUGUUCUCAGGUACCGCAUGAAUAAGGACCGGCUCAUUCCGUGUUAGCAGCCGCGGUAUUACGGAAGGUCCGGGCGUUAUCCGGAUUUCUUGGGUUUAACGGGAGCGUAGGCCGGUCCUUAAGCGUGCCGUGAAAUUUUGUGGCUCAACCCUGGAAGUGCGGCGCGAACUGGGGACCUUGAGUGCGCGGAGGGCAGGCGGAAUUCGUGGUGUAGCGGUGAAAUGCUUAGAUAUCACGAAGAACCCCGAUUGCGAAGGCAGCCUGCCGCAGCGUUACUGACGCUGAGGCUCGAAAGCGCGGGUAUCAAACAGGAUUAGAUACCCCUGUAGUC
RNAcentral lists this ribosomal RNA (460 nucleotides) under uncultured bacterium. RNAcentral's name for it is "partial 16S ribosomal RNA". It matches the Rfam family "Bacterial small subunit ribosomal RNA", at positions 338 to 795 of the family's 1533-position model. The record is from RNAcentral.